AUUCCAAAGAGUUUAUUGUUUAAAACCCACAUCCCCCAGCCCCACCCAUGUCCCUGAGGGGCACUGGACAGAGUUGCCUGGAAUUCAGCUGAUUUAAUGCCCCUGAGCCCAGGCUCCAGGCGAUGUUUUCAAGCAGGAGGAGGCAGGGGCUGGAGGUGCUCCCAGCCCAUUCCAGGGCAGCCCCGUGCACAUAGGAGGACAUCUCUCCAUGCAGAAGUUCAGUUCCUUUCAGGGCCUCAGCAGUGACCUCUGCAAGUUCUUUUCCCUCAGGAAAGGGGUGCACAUCCCUGCCUUCAGCACACCUCCAGUGGGACCAACCUGCAAAAGCUUUCCAUCCCUUCUGCACUUCCAGCUGGUUCCCUGAGAAAUUACCACCUUCAUCCAAACAAAACUUCAUCCCACACAUUUGAUUAAGGGGCUCCUGGUUUCCUCCUGCCCCACAUUCCCUGCCAGCUGAGACACCAAGGAACCUUGCUGGCAGUGAGCAGGAGCCGCUGAGAGGCCUCUCUGCAGCUCUGGGCCACAAAAGCAGCCCCAGCUUCAGCAGCUGCCACCAUUUUAGCAACACUCACCUGCAGCAAAUGCCCCCUGUCUCUCUCCAGAAGAAUUUUGGUCAUGCAGCAAGGGAAGCCUCAGGACCCAUCCUACUCUUUUCUCUCUGCAAAACAACAUUGCAAGAGCAAAUUUACAGCUGCUGGAUAAAUCCUGGAAAGGACAGGAAAAUCAGAGUUAUUGGUGCUGUUAUGUUGGCUGCCAGCCAGUUCUACCUUACAGCCACAGCAGGGGCUGGUGUGUAAAGCAGCUUUAGCAGAACAGAAGGAGCUGCGGUUCCCUUGCUGGUUCCAAGGAUUCCCAUGCUUGCGAGGUGCAUACUUGUGACCCAGAGAUUGGUUCAGUCAGUUGGACCCCAAUAUAUCCUGUGACCUGGAAAUAAAGAUGAAAAUUCAUAGCUGACUUUCAAUAAAGGAGGUCUUACCAUUA
Molecule: long non-coding RNA, 981 nt
Organism: Catharus ustulatus (Swainson's thrush)
Lineage: Eukaryota; Metazoa; Chordata; Aves; Passeriformes; Turdidae
Exons: 2
Source: RefSeq, a predicted model, not a curated record